CUUCUUCGAAGAUACUCCUAGGAAGGUCCUGGAUUCUUUCUCUGUGUAACAAGUGUUGAAAGUUGAUGAAGAUGGUAUAAUGGAUUGAGCACUGAAGACCUGGACUACCACCAUUGUACUAUGUGAGAAUUAGUCAAGUCUAUCCCUGGAGGAAUGGAAAGAGAAGGCUUCUGCCCUUCCCCCUACAACAUGAUGACUGCUACAAUAUGGCAUACAGAGCAAGCAGAUUGGCUCAAUGGACAAAUCUGAGCCUGGGGAACCUAGCUGCCUCUUCUGCUUUGUGUUCAUUCCCCAAACAUAGAAGACCAAACACUGAUCUCAAAAUGGACGUGUCUAAGACUUGGAUAUAACCUUGUGAGUUCAAGAGUUCUGAUGAUUCUAGAGUUAACUGGCAUUUGGCAGAAGACAUAGACUUGGGGGUGGUAGUGGUAAUUCUUCGGACAAGGCAAAAGAUAAACAUUUUUCUGUAGUCCUGCCAAGUGUUUUUUUGUUUUGGUGGUUGUAGCUCUCAAUCUCUGAAGAGAGUAUAACAGUAGUUAUACAUUAUUAUAUCUUAUUUUAAGUUUUCUGUCGUUGCACACUUGUAGAUCUUAUGUGUUUUGAAUUUAUUUUGUGUGUUAGAAAUGAAAAGCUUAUACCUGAUUCAUAUUGUACAUUACUUUUCUAUUCUUGCCUUCCUCUCCACUUUGGGAGACACUAAACAUGAUGAAAACCUAA
Trichosurus vulpecula (common brushtail) is the source of this 717-nucleotide long non-coding RNA. RefSeq lists it as uncharacterized. The record is from RefSeq and is a predicted model, not a curated record. The transcript has 2 exons. NCBI's taxonomy places the organism in Eukaryota, Metazoa, Chordata, Mammalia, Diprotodontia, Phalangeridae.